Molecule: long non-coding RNA, 209 nt
Organism: Hibiscus syriacus
Lineage: Eukaryota; Viridiplantae; Streptophyta; Magnoliopsida; Malvales; Malvaceae
Exons: 2
Source: RefSeq, a predicted model, not a curated record
UGAAACAUUUUUGUUCAUGUAUGUUUCUGGUUGAAUUUUUGAGGUGGGUUUUGCUUGAAUUUUGAAUUAAGAGAGUCAAAGAACAAUGGAGAGAGAUUUCCUGGGUUUGAAUUCAGAAGAACCGUGGGUUAUGGUUAAGGAAGAGGUUAACACUUAUGGGUACAAACAAAUAGGUUUUACUAAAAGCUCAGGGAUACAAUGGCCCUUUU